CAGAUAAGUACAUAAAGUACAUAACUGCCUCCAAUGACAGUUGGAUGUAAAUGAAAUAUAAAUAAACAUCUUCGGGGCCUUCGGAGACUUUUUCCCCUUUCAUAAUUAUUUCAUAUUUAACAUAUAUGUAUUUGCUAUUGUACAUCGAAUCAGACAAAGGUUUGCACUGCCGCAAUGUCACCUUUCAGCUCUGAACAGUCUUCGUCGUCUGGCCACUUCAGGAAGUUCAGGAAGACAUGAUGAGACUCGAAUACGGAAUGCGUAUAGCCGUGUGUAUUUGUUCCGCGUCCCUGGAGGUACUUUCCGCAUACCAAACAGGCAUAGACGUUAAUCCGGAUUAGAGUCGAGACCGGCUGCUCAAAGUCGAAAACCAACGGCACUUUAGAUUUGAUUCUUCUGGCAUUAUCUUCUUAGUCAUCGGAACCAAUGUCCUCAAGUUUUGGCUUCUUAGCUGACGAGGUUUUUGACGAUGGUGCUGAAAUGGAUCGAAUGCCAUUUCAAGGACAUCAAGCAAAGCAGCAUCGACGAGUUUGCAGAAGAUACAAUUUGUGAUCCUAGCAAAGGUUUGCACUGCCGCCUUUCGGCUCGGAACAGUCUUCGUCAUCUGACAAUAUCCAAGGGUAUGAGAGCAGGAACAAAGGCUACGGAAAUGUCGAUCCGUCCGAUACACGAAAAUGCUUUGCAAUUUUCAGAUAGCACACACUACGGCCAUCCAUCCGAUGCGGCCUUUUGCUUUCGGUUAAAAUUUAGGAAUAGGAAUAUGCAUUGCAAUAGACAUUAAGCAUAAAUAGAAUUUAUGUACUAAAUGAAAAAAUCAAAAUUAA
Long non-coding RNA from Armigeres subalbatus, 824 nucleotides. RefSeq lists it as uncharacterized. The transcript is spliced from 3 exons. The record is from RefSeq and is a predicted model, not a curated record. NCBI's taxonomy places the organism in Eukaryota, Metazoa, Arthropoda, Insecta, Diptera, Culicidae.